AACUGCAAACCUUCAGAACCUAAACUUUGCUAAAAUAAAGAUUUUAUAGUUUUCAAUUCAGAAGUUAAUUUUACAAAAGUAAGAAAUUACACCUUACAACCUCCAAGGUUCUGGGAGUAUCCAAUUGUAAGGACAACUGUUCAGUCAAAGCAACCUUACAAGUACUAAGACUCUCCAAUCUCUAAGAUAUAGGUUUUAUUAGCAUAUAAAACUACACUAAUGACCGAUAUUAUCAUGUCACAACAUGAAUGGCCAUUACAGUUUUAUAGUCUUACCAAUUGGAUAAAAAAAAUUCCGCUAAGUCUCAUUAAAUCAAUUCUCCCAAUUCUGUAGAAGGAAGAAAACAUUAAAUGCAAAUUGAAUUAUAAAAUUAUUAUUGGAGAUCCAUUACACAUGUAGUCAUAAAGAACUACAUAUAAUCAUAUGUUUAAGGUAGAAUCCUCUCUAUAGAACCCAAUCUAAGAGGACUAGCCACUAAUUCUUAAUGAAUUGGUGGUCUUUACAAUGAUAAAGCAAGUAUUAAGACUCACACUAAUGAUUAAUAAAGUUCUAUUGAUAGCCUCCAUUUCUACCAUCCCCUAACUCAUCCUAUAGUUAAAAACAAUUUAAACAUUAAUUAAAAUAAAAGUACUCCCC
RNAcentral lists this long non-coding RNA (636 nucleotides) under Lathyrus oleraceus (garden pea). RNAcentral's name for it is "Pisum sativum (pea) long non-coding RNA (PSAT_LNC033064)". The record is from RNAcentral. Lineage: Eukaryota; Viridiplantae; Streptophyta; Magnoliopsida; Fabales; Fabaceae.